AAAGACAGGUCUUCAGCCUCCGUUCCAAGUCAUUUAAAUACAGAGCAGACGGUUAUGCGGGGUCAUGAGGCCCUCGCACCCCAAUCCUGCUUGGAAGGCAGCCGGGCACUUCCGGGGUGCCCUCCAGGGUCACCUCAGGCCCGGGGAGCUGGUGUAAUGCCUCUCGAAGACACAACAGGAUGUGACUCAGGACUCAGACACGUGUGAGAUUGGACUUGAUUCGGGGCCAACACCUCCAGUCCCGGAGCCAGCUCCGUGAGCUGAAAACAUGCACCAACCCUCCAGUAAUACCACUGCAGCCAGCCAGAGUCUCAACAAUUUAAGGCUUAACACACACAACAUAAAUCCAAGGAGGAUGGACGAGCCGACCGGCAGCUU
Long non-coding RNA from Talpa occidentalis (Iberian mole), 378 nucleotides. RefSeq lists it as uncharacterized. The transcript has 3 exons. Lineage: Eukaryota; Metazoa; Chordata; Mammalia; Eulipotyphla; Talpidae. The record is from RefSeq and is a predicted model, not a curated record.